AACGAACGCUGGCGGCAUGCCUAACACAUGCAAGUCGAACGAGAUCUUCGGGUCUAGUGGCGCACGGGUGCGUAACGCGUGGGAAUCUGCCCUUUGGUUCGGAAUAACAGUUGGAAACGACUGCUAAUACCGGAUGAUGACGAAAGUCCAAAGAUUUAUCGCCAGAGGAUGAGCCCGCGUAGGAUUAGCUAGUUGGUGUGGUAAAGGCGCACCAAGGCGACGAUCCUUAGCUGGUCUGAGAGGAUGAUCAGCCACACUGGGACUGAGACACGGCCCAGACUCCUACGGGAGGCAGCAGUGGGGAAUAUUGGACAAAGGGCGAAAGCCUGAUCCAGCAAUGCCGCGUGAGUGAUGAAGGCCUUAGGGUUGUAAAGCUCUUUUACCCGGGAUGAUAAUGACAGUAUCGGGAGAAUAAGCUCCGGCUAACUCCGUGCCAGCCGCCGCAGUAA
This 449-nucleotide ribosomal RNA is filed under the name uncultured bacterium. RNAcentral describes it as "partial 16S ribosomal RNA". It matches the Rfam family "Bacterial small subunit ribosomal RNA", at positions 29 to 523 of the family's 1533-position model. The record is from RNAcentral.